UUAUGUGCGACGGUGACUGCAAGAAACAAGGAAUGUGGAGCUAAUGCAUGCUGCUAAGGAUGGAAAGGUCUUGUGUUUAUUGGUUGUGCCUGAGACACCAGUCACAGUUGUACCUUAUUUCCAUUUUAGGGAGUCUAUAUACAUUUGAGGUGAGCGGCAGAUUUAAUUUUGAAGAUGGGUGACAUUCAGAUGUUGUGAUGAAGAUUGUUGAAAGGGAUUAUCAACAUAGAACCAAUCCAUAUGAAUGGGCAAGUCAGGACUUGUACAACACCUGAGUACCUAGAUGACUGUUGAACUAAUUGGUGAACAAGACAAGAUGUCAGAGACGGGAA
Long non-coding RNA from Saccostrea cuccullata (small rock oyster), 332 nucleotides. RefSeq lists it as uncharacterized. NCBI's taxonomy places the organism in Eukaryota, Metazoa, Mollusca, Bivalvia, Ostreida, Ostreidae. The record is from RefSeq and is a predicted model, not a curated record. The transcript has 4 exons.